Molecule: ribosomal RNA, 497 nt
Filed under: uncultured bacterium
Lineage: Bacteria
Description: partial 16S ribosomal RNA
Rfam family: Bacterial small subunit ribosomal RNA
Source: RNAcentral
GAUGAACGCUGGCGGCGUGCCUAAUACAUGCAAGUCGAGCGAACAGACGAGGAGCUUGCUCCUUUGACGUUAGCGGCGGACGGGUGAGUAACACGUGGGUAACCUACCUAUAAGACUGGGAUAACUUCGGGAAACCGGAGCUAAUACCGGAUAAUAAUUCGAACCGCAGGGUUCGAUAGUGAAAGAUGGCUCUGCUAUCACUUAUAGAUGGACCUGCGCCGUAUUAGCUAGUUGGUAAGGUAACGGCUUACCAAGGCAACGAUACGUAGCCGACCUGAGAGGGUGAUCGGCCACACUGGAACUGAGACACGGUCCAGACUCCUACGGGAGGCAGCAGUGGGGAAUCUUGCGCAAUGGGCGAAAGCCUGACGGAGCAACGCCGCGUGAGUGAUGAAGGUCUUCGGAUCGUAAAACUCUGUUAUUAGGGAAGAACAAACGUGUACGUAACUGUGCACGUCUUGACGGUACCUAAUCAGAAAGCCACGGCUAACUACGUG